CACGUAUGGGGCGAGCGUUGUUCGGAUUCACUGGGCGUAAAGGGUGCGUAGGCGGUCGGGUAAGUCUGACGUGAAAUCUUCAAGCUCAACUUGGAAACUGCGUCCGAUACUGUUCGGCUAGAGGAAUGGAGGGGAGACUGGAAUACUUGGUGUAGCAGUGAAAUGCGUAGAUAUCAAGUGGAACACCAGUGGCGAAGGCGAGUCUCUGGACAUUUCCUGACGCUGAGGCACGAAAGCCAGGGGAGCAAACGGG
This 253-nucleotide ribosomal RNA is filed under the name uncultured bacterium. Its description in RNAcentral is "partial 16S ribosomal RNA". It matches the Rfam family "Bacterial small subunit ribosomal RNA", at positions 524 to 776 of the family's 1533-position model. The record is from RNAcentral.